UACGUAGGGCGCAAGCGUUGUCCGGAAUUAUUGGGCGUAAAGAGCUCGUAGGCGGCUUGUCACGUCGGAUGUGAAAGCCCGGGGCUUAACCCCGGGUCUGCAUUCGAUACGGGCAUGCUAGAGUGUGGUAGGGGAGAUCGGAAUUCCUGGUGUAGCGGUGAAAUGCGCAGAUAUCAGGAGGAACACCGGUGGCGAAGGCGGAUCUCUGGGCCAUUACUGACGCUGAGGAGCGAAAGCGUGGGGAGCGAACAGG
RNAcentral lists this ribosomal RNA (253 nucleotides) under uncultured bacterium. RNAcentral's name for it is "partial 16S ribosomal RNA". It matches the Rfam family "Bacterial small subunit ribosomal RNA", at positions 524 to 776 of the family's 1533-position model. The record is from RNAcentral.